UGGGGAAUAUUGCACAAUGGGGGAAACCCUGAUGCAGCGACGCCGCGUGAACGAAGAAGGUAUUCGUAUCGUAAAGUUCUGUCCGAUGGGAAGAUAAUGACAGUACCAUAGAAGAAAGCUCCGGCUAAAUACGUGCCAGCAGCCGCGGUAAUACGUAUGGAGCGAGCGUUGUCCGGAAUUAUUGGGCGUAAAGGGUACGCAGGCGGUUUAAUAAGUCGAAUGUUAAAGAUCGGGGCUCAACCCCGCAAAGCAUUGGAAACUGAUAAACUUGAGUAGUGGAGAGGAAAGUGGAAUUCCUAGUGUAGUGGUGAAAUACGUAGAUAUUAGGAGGAAUACCAGUAGCGAAGGCGACUUUCUGGACACAAACUGACGCUGAGGUACGAAAGCGUGGGGAGCAAACAGG
This 403-nucleotide ribosomal RNA is filed under the name bacterium. RNAcentral's name for it is "partial 16S ribosomal RNA". It matches the Rfam family "Bacterial small subunit ribosomal RNA", at positions 355 to 776 of the family's 1533-position model. The record is from RNAcentral.